RNAcentral lists this small RNA (37 nucleotides) under human gut metagenome. RNAcentral's name for it is "abiF RNA". It matches the Rfam family "abiF RNA". The record is from RNAcentral. RNAcentral also lists the same sequence under 1 other name.
CCCGCCAAGCCUCUCAAUGAAGCUCAAAUCGGCGGGU